This 302-nucleotide long non-coding RNA is filed under the name Elaeis guineensis (African oil palm). RNAcentral describes it as "long non-coding RNA (EGUI_LNC068059)". The record is from RNAcentral. Lineage: Eukaryota; Viridiplantae; Streptophyta; Magnoliopsida; Arecales; Arecaceae.
AUAAUCGGAGUGCAUAUCCGAUCAGGGCUUUGAUUCAGGUCUUUAAAAGGCUUAUGGAUAGAUCGAGAGGUAUUGUGGCAUGGUGGAUCAGCAUAGGACCCUGAGCAGAAGUAGCAACCGAGAGCAGAGGUAGUAGGCAAACCCUUGAGAGGCACUGACAGAGAGCAAAAGUAGGGGUUUCAGUAGAUUAUCAAGCAGUAGAUAGCAAUCACUUCAGGGGUUUAGGGGUCUUCGUAAAGAGAGAGCUUUUGUGAGGGAGAGCUUCUUAUGAGGGAGAGAUUGGGUGUAUGAGGGUUGAGGGU